CCACGUUUUCACUUUAUCCUCUAAUCCCUACUCAUUUUCUUUCUGUCAACCUAAUCAGCCGCACACUCAUUUCUCAUGGUAUCAUCGCAUGCCUCUCCGAUGAGAUGGGUUGCUAGCUAUCAAUGGCGUCGGGGCUUGGGACUAUAGCGUGUGGUGGAUAUAUCGUGCAGGGGCAGAGGUGAUGGCCAUAGAUGGAUUUGGUGGAGCUCUGGGAAAUUUUCAGUCAUGUAUAUCUGGGGCCAUCUUCGGCAUCAGUUGGUGGUUUUGGAUCGACUUCGUUGUCCGCAACCCCAUCAAUUGAAAUGUGGAAGAUGUGGAGAAGAGACCCAGAAAGAAACUUCUUUGACAUUGAAUGAGACUGUUCCUCUCCCUGUAGGCAAGGGCACAGCUCAUCUCAUUCAGAAGGCUAAAACUCUACUGAGAACCAAGACAAUUAUAUAAGAGAACCAAGGCUACAAGAAAUUCUUCUUCAAGUUGUUGGCUAUUAUUUUCUUUCUUGCUUGUAAGAAUGUUUUUAUUUAUGUUUACCGAGUUUUUCGGAAACGAAUAACUAACAGAAUAAUAAAAAGAUAAGAACUGUAGAAAUGCUGAAAUGUAACUAAACAAACAGUGUUUUUACGUGGUUCAGGCGUUAACAAGCCCUAGUCCACGAGUCGAUGUUAUUAUACUUGGAAAAGGUUACAGUAA
Long non-coding RNA from Humulus lupulus (European hop), 687 nucleotides. RefSeq lists it as uncharacterized. The transcript is spliced from 4 exons. NCBI's taxonomy places the organism in Eukaryota, Viridiplantae, Streptophyta, Magnoliopsida, Rosales, Cannabaceae. The record is from RefSeq and is a predicted model, not a curated record.